Benincasa hispida (wax gourd) is the source of this 1049-nucleotide long non-coding RNA. RefSeq lists it as uncharacterized. The record is from RefSeq and is a predicted model, not a curated record. NCBI's taxonomy places the organism in Eukaryota, Viridiplantae, Streptophyta, Magnoliopsida, Cucurbitales, Cucurbitaceae.
CUAAAAUUGUUUCUUGGUAUUAGAACUACAUAAAUGGCUUACACCGAAACCGAUUUUUCAUCACCUGAUUCACCAAAAGAAAACCCAGACUUCCCGAAAUCAACAACAAGGUCGAAUUAAGAAAAAAUAUUGAUGAAGGAGUUUGUUAUCAAGUUCGAUUAGGAACUUGUUCUGUCGGAAAUCCCAGCUUCACCAACUUGCUCAACCAAGUUUCCUCGAUUAAGCUUGGGAGAGGUAACUUCAUUCUGUGGUAGAAUAUUGUGCUCCCUAUUCUAAAAAGCUACAAACUUGAAAGUCAUCUCACUGGAAGCACAUCCCACCCUGAGCACUCUAUUGACAUUCCUCCUUGUGAGGAUGAACCGAAAGGAUUAUUGAUGCCCAACUCAGAGUAUGAUAUAUGGAUUGCCGCAGACCAGCUACUUAUUGGUUGGUUCUACAACUCAAUGACACCGAAGUCGUUGCGUAGGUCAUGAGACAUGAUGAAGCUAAACCAUUGUGGGAUUCAAUUCAGGAGUACUUUGGAGUUCAAUCCAGAUCCCAGGAAGAUCACAAUCGAAAAAUGCUUCAAGAAACUCGCAAAGGUGAAGUUUCUGCCUUAUAGCAUUGCAAUGCCGCCCUUGGAGCAUUGCAACUCUGUUCUUUAGCCAGCCCAAAUCAUAAAGAAAAUCCUGUGGCAUUGCAAUGCUGGAAUGAAGGGUUGCAACGUUCUUCAUCCCAGCCCAGAAGGUGUGUGCGUGAAGGAAUUGGCGGUUCAACAGAACCGGUUCGGCCAGUUUGGGUGUUGGAGGUCCGAUUCAACCUGUUUUAGAUCAGUUCAGCCCAAAUUUCUUCUUUGGAGGUCUGGAUCGGGUGGUUCGAGUAGUUCAAGACUUGUCAUUUUGUAGUAGUUUUAGGCUUUUGUUGGCUUAGAUUGCAAAAACUAGUCCAUUUCAGUGUAUGUUUAAUUAUUUAUGCAUUUUGAAUGUAUGUUUAAUUAAAUUAAAUCUUGUAUGUGCAUAAAGUAUGCCAUGUAGAUUUAAAAUCCCACCAUAAGAAACUUGUUUCAUGUA